RNAcentral lists this transfer RNA (67 nucleotides) under Cydistomyia duplonotata. RNAcentral describes it as "tRNA-His". Lineage: Eukaryota; Metazoa; Arthropoda; Insecta; Diptera; Tabanidae. The record is from RNAcentral.
AUUUAAAUAGUUUAAUUAAAAUAUUGAUUUGUGGUGUCAAUGAUAUGAAUUUUAUUCAUUUUAGAUC